RNAcentral lists this ribosomal RNA (254 nucleotides) under uncultured bacterium. RNAcentral's name for it is "partial 16S ribosomal RNA". It matches the Rfam family "Bacterial small subunit ribosomal RNA", at positions 524 to 777 of the family's 1533-position model. The record is from RNAcentral.
UACGUAGGGUGCGAGCGUUGUCCGGAAUUACUGGGCGUAAAGAGCUCGUAGGUGGUUUGUCGCGUUGUCCGUGAAAACUCACAACUCAAUUGUGGGCGUGCGGGCGAUACGGGCAGACUGGAGUACUGCAGGGGAGACUGGAAUUCCUGGUGUAGCGGUGGAAUGCGCAGAUAUCAGGAGGAACACCGGUGGCGAAGGCGGGUCUCUGGGCAGUAACUGACGCUGAGGAGCGAAAGCGUGGGGAGCGAACAGGA